CGUGCCUAACACAUGCAAGUCGUGCGAGAAAGUUCCUUCGGGAGCGAGUAAAGCGGCGCACGGGUGAGUAACACGUAGGUAACCUGCCCCCCAGUCUGGAACAACUAGAGGAAACUCUAGCUAAUGCCGGAUGAGACCACGAUCCCUUCGGGGGUUGCGGCCAAAGAUGGCCUCUACUUGUAAGCUAUCGCUGAGGGAUGGGCCUGCGGGCCAUUAGCUUGUUGGUGAGGUAACGGCUCACCAAGGCUGUGAUGGCUAGCUGGUCUGAGAGGAUGACCAGCCACACUGGGACUGAGACACGGCCCAGACUCCUACGGGAGGCAGCAGUGGGGAAUAUUGCGCAAUGGGCGAAAGCCUGACGCAGCGACGCCGCGUGGGUGAUGAAGGCCUUCGGGUCAUAAAGCCCUGUCGCAGGGGAAGAAUAAGCAUCGGUAUAAUACGCCGGUGCCCUGACGGUACCCUGCAAGAAAGCACCGGCUAACUCCGUG
This 488-nucleotide ribosomal RNA is filed under the name uncultured bacterium. Its description in RNAcentral is "bacterial SSU rRNA". It matches the Rfam family "Bacterial small subunit ribosomal RNA", at positions 43 to 507 of the family's 1533-position model. The record is from RNAcentral.